AAUCGGAGUUCAUAAAUAACGAAACAGCUGGUGUAAAAUUUACAGGGUUAUAAAUGUUCAUAAGUUGUAGAAUUUUUCGAACUAAUACCUUUAUGUUAUGUUUGAGGUUUUUUAUUGAUAUUAUAUUUUGAUGUUUUGGAAGGAUUAAGAGCAAGUAAAAAUUAAGCGGACAAACCAGGUGCUUGAAUCGUAACCAGCAAUUGUGGCC
RNAcentral lists this long non-coding RNA (208 nucleotides) under Brassica napus (rape). RNAcentral describes it as "long non-coding RNA (BNAP_LNC012590)". The record is from RNAcentral. Lineage: Eukaryota; Viridiplantae; Streptophyta; Magnoliopsida; Brassicales; Brassicaceae.